Molecule: non-coding RNA, 100 nt
Organism: Daucus carota subsp. sativus
Lineage: Eukaryota; Viridiplantae; Streptophyta; Magnoliopsida; Apiales; Apiaceae
Source: Rfam
AAAACGCGAUGAAGAAUUUUGAAAUUAUUCACAUGUCAGACUUCAGAGAUUAUCUAUUAGAUGAUCAAUGAGAAGUAAAUUUCAUUUUCCUGAGCCUUGU